This 448-nucleotide long non-coding RNA is filed under the name Struthio camelus australis. RNAcentral describes it as "lncRNA (ENSSCUG00000006716.1)". The record is from RNAcentral. Lineage: Eukaryota; Metazoa; Chordata; Aves; Struthioniformes; Struthionidae.
CAGGAAAGUGCUUCCAACUUUCAAAUCAAGAGAACAUUUUAGCAUUUCCUAAGCUCUGUGUGCAUGCCUAAGCUGCCAUGAAUAGGAAUGAAUGUAAGUAGUUUCAUAAAGUAGAAACAUGGAAAAAAAUGGCAAUGGUGCAACUGUGGCUACACGUAGCUAAUUGCUGUGGGGUUUUUUUGCUAUUAGUAUAGAAAGAAAUACUGCCCUGCUGAUGUGUGAAAGUGUCGAUAUGUUGUGGGCUGGGCUUGACUUAUUCAGAUGCGUCUGGGAGACGACUGUGAUUACCAGGAGCUCUAACAUUACUGCAAGUUUGUUGUUCCUGUGUUUGGACAACAUUGAUAUGAAUGAACAGCAAAUGAUGGAUGGUUUUCAAACUUUGCUAUUUCCUGUCUCUCUGCAUUUGCCGUUGGUUACGCUUUUCAUUCUGAAUGUAAAGCUUCAAUAG